CCUUAGUACGAGAGGACCGGGAAGAGGGGACCUCCAGUGUACGGGUUAUCGCGCCAGCGGUAAACGCCCGGUAGCUGUGUUCCAAGCGGAUAAGUGCUGAAAGCAUAUAAGUACGAAGCCCACCGUAAGAUAAGAUCUCUCAUAGCAUAAGCUAGUAAGUUCCCAGACAGAUCAUCUGGUUGAUAGGUCAGAGGUGUAAGAGUGGCAACAUUUUCAGCCGACUGAUACUAAUAGAACGAGGGCUUUUCCUAA
RNAcentral lists this ribosomal RNA (252 nucleotides) under Candidatus Gastranaerophilales bacterium HUM_2. RNAcentral describes it as "partial 23S ribosomal RNA". It matches the Rfam family "Bacterial large subunit ribosomal RNA", at positions 2676 to 2925 of the family's 2925-position model. The record is from RNAcentral. Lineage: Bacteria; Bacillati; Candidatus Melainabacteria; Candidatus Gastranaerophilales.